GCCGGCAGCUAGCUCUCUGCAACUCUCACAUGGUCGCCCACUGAAGCUAAGCAGGGCUGUGCCCGGUCAGUACCUGGAUGGGAGACCACAUGGGAAAGCUAGGUUGCUGCUGGAA
Molecule: ribosomal RNA, 115 nt
Filed under: Danio rerio (zebrafish)
Lineage: Eukaryota; Metazoa; Chordata; Actinopteri; Cypriniformes; Danionidae
Source: RNAcentral